Zingiber officinale is the source of this 318-nucleotide long non-coding RNA. RefSeq lists it as uncharacterized. The record is from RefSeq and is a predicted model, not a curated record. The transcript is spliced from 3 exons. NCBI's taxonomy places the organism in Eukaryota, Viridiplantae, Streptophyta, Magnoliopsida, Zingiberales, Zingiberaceae.
CUUUUUCUAUUGGUUCUCGUGUGCUUACCAAGUAUAGAAGUUGCACCCUUCAUGAAAAAGUACAAGCUCUUAUUUGCACUCGUAAUUGGUUACAUGGUUAUGCUAUUGAUAAAGAUAAUGAAGACAAUGUAAGUAUUAAAACAACCUUGUCUAAGGAAGGAUCAAAUGAUCUAGAAGAUAUUCAUGCGGAGAAAGAAGAUGAUGGAGAAUCGGAAGAAUUUGAUAAUUGAUGUGGAAGAGAAACUUGAUGUUGCGUUAGAUUCUUUGUUGAAUGUGGAGAAGCAAAUGAGGCUUGCUGGUGAUGUUGCUGGAACGAAG